UCCGCAAUGUACGAAAGUGCGACGGGGGGAUCCCAAGUGUUAUGCUUUUUUGUAUGACUUUUCAUUAGUGUAAAAAGCUUUUAGAAUAAGAGCUGGGCAAGACCGGUGCCAGCCGCCGCGGUAACACCGGCAGCUCGAGUGGUAGCUGUUUUUAUUGGGCCUAAAGCGUUCGUAGCCGGUUUGAUAAGUCUUUGGUGAAAGCUUGUAGCUUAACUAUAAGAAUUGCUGGAGAUACUAUUAGACUUGAAGUCGGGAGAGGUUAGAGGUACUACCGGGGUAGGGGUGAAAUCCUAUAAUCCUGGGAGGACCACCUGUGGCGAAGGCGUCUAACUGGAACGAUCUUGACGGUGAGUAACGAAAGCCAGGGGCGCGAACCGGAUUAGAUACCCGGGUAGUCCUGGCCGUAAACGAUGUGGACUUGGUGUUGGAAUGGCUUUGAGUUGUUCCGGUGCCGAAGGGAAGCUGUUAAGUCCACCGCCUGGGAAGUACGGUCGCAAGACUGAAACUUAA
RNAcentral lists this ribosomal RNA (510 nucleotides) under uncultured archaeon. RNAcentral's name for it is "bacterial SSU rRNA". It matches the Rfam family "Archaeal small subunit ribosomal RNA", at positions 349 to 859 of the family's 1478-position model. The record is from RNAcentral.